RNAcentral lists this unclassified non-coding RNA (231 nucleotides) under plant metagenome. Its description in RNAcentral is "partial contains small subunit ribosomal RNA, internal transcribed spacer 1, and 5.8S ribosomal RNA". The record is from RNAcentral.
UCUCCGUUGGUGAACCAGCGGAGGGAUCAUUACAGAGUUGCAAAACUCCCAAACCAUUGUGAACGUUACCUAUCCCGUUGCUUCGGCGGGCGGCCCGGGCCCCGCGCCCGGCGCCCCCCGGCCCCCCGUGGGCGCCCGCCGGAGGUAAACCAAACCCUUGAAUUGCAUGGCCUCUCUGUGUCUUCUGUACUGAAUAAGUCAAAACUUUCAACAACGGAUCUCUUGGUUCUG